Molecule: ribosomal RNA, 273 nt
Filed under: uncultured bacterium
Lineage: Bacteria
Description: partial 16S ribosomal RNA
Rfam family: Bacterial small subunit ribosomal RNA
Source: RNAcentral
AUACGGAGGGAGCAAGCGUUAUUCGGAAUCACUGGGCGUAAAGGACGCGUAGGCGGGUUUGUAAGUCAGGUGUGAAAUCCUACAGCUCAACUGUAGAACUGCACUUGAAACUACAGACCUAGAGUAUGGAAGGGGCAGAUGGAAUUAGUGGUGUAGGGGUAAAAUCCGUAGAUAUCACUAGGAAUACCGAAAGCGAAGGCGAUCUGCUGGGACAUUACUGACGCUGAGGCGUGAAAGCGUGGGGAGCAAACAGGAUUAGAAACCCUGUAGUCA